AUCACUUCUAUACCUUUUGACUAAGAUCAAGUUAGUAUCUGUUCUUAGCUGUUUACUAUUU
Molecule: small nuclear RNA, 61 nt
Filed under: Cervus elaphus hippelaphus
Lineage: Eukaryota; Metazoa; Chordata; Mammalia; Artiodactyla; Cervidae
Source: RNAcentral